UACGUAGGGGGCAAGCGUUGUCCGGAUUUAUUGGGCGUAAAGAGCGUGUAGGCGGCUGGGUAGGUCCGUUGUGAAAACUCGAGGCUCAACCUCGAGACGCCGAUGGAAACCCUCCAGCUAGAGUCCGGAAGAGGAGAGUGGAAUUCCUGGUGUAGCGGUGAAAUGCGCAGAUAUCAGGAAGAACACCCGUGGCUAAGGCGGCUCUCUAGUACGGUACUGACGCUGAGACGCGAAAGUGUGGGGAGCGAACAGG
Molecule: ribosomal RNA, 253 nt
Filed under: uncultured prokaryote
Description: partial 16S ribosomal RNA
Rfam family: Bacterial small subunit ribosomal RNA
Source: RNAcentral